UACAGUGGAGGUUUAUACGAAGAAUCUUCACGACGAAUUCCCCGGCACUAGUUUCCAGGCCAUGAGCGCCAAGUUGCUGUUGAAUAUGGCUGAGCGAAUAGCGAAACUUCAAGAUAAGCAGGAUGCGAGAUAUUUCUUGGUGAUGAUUUUAGAUGCUAUUGGAGAUAAAUUUGCGGCCAUGAAUCACCAAUUUGAUAACGUGGUCAAGUUGUCACGGGCAUCGAAGCUACAGGCAGAGAACACGAAGGAAUCUUACCUCGCGGAAAACGAUAACCCACCGGACUGGGAUGAAAUCGAUAUCUUUUCCGCGGCCCCCGUAAAGACUUCAAAUCCGCGAGAGCGCAAUGCUGAUCCCGUUGAAGAUAAUAAAUUCCUUUUUAACAAUCUCGUGAAGGGGCUGAAGAGUUUAUUUUAUACGCUGAAAGCAACU
This 430-nucleotide small RNA is filed under the name Histoplasma capsulatum var. duboisii H88. RNAcentral describes it as "Histoplasma capsulatum H88 hypothetical RNA". The record is from RNAcentral. Lineage: Eukaryota; Fungi; Ascomycota; Eurotiomycetes; Onygenales; Ajellomycetaceae.